Molecule: ribosomal RNA, 391 nt
Filed under: uncultured bacterium
Lineage: Bacteria
Description: bacterial SSU rRNA
Rfam family: Bacterial small subunit ribosomal RNA
Source: RNAcentral
CAGCUCUUGACAUGGGUAGUAUGGGCCUGGGCGACUGGGCUCUUCAGUUCGGCUGGCUACCACACAGGUGCUGCAUGGCUGUCGUCAGCUCGUGUCGUGAGAUGUUGGGUUAAGUCCCGCAACGAGCGCAACCCUCAUCUUCAGUUGCCAUCGGGUUAAGCCGGGCACUCUGGGGAAACUGCCGGUGACAAGCCGGAGGAAGGCGGGGAUGACGUCAAGUCCUCAUGGCCUUUAUGGGCUGGGCUACACACGUGCUACAAUGGCGGUGACAGUGGGUUCUGCGCGAAGGGGCGACCCGGAGCCAAUCCCCAAAAGCCGUCUCAGUUCGGAUUGCACUCUGCAACUCGAGUGCAUGAAGCUGGAAUCGCUAGUAAUCGCGGAUCAGCACGCC